This 507-nucleotide ribosomal RNA is filed under the name uncultured organism. Its description in RNAcentral is "bacterial SSU rRNA". It matches the Rfam family "Bacterial small subunit ribosomal RNA", at positions 29 to 507 of the family's 1533-position model. The record is from RNAcentral.
AGCGAACGCUGGCGGCGUGCUUAACACAUGCAAGUCGAGGGAGAACGGAGGGCUUCGGCCUUCUUAGUAAACCGGCGCACGGGUGAGUAACACGUAGGUAACCUACCUCCGAGUUCGGGAUAACCUGUCGAAAGAUAGGCUAAUACCGGAUAAGACCACGAUGGCUUCGGCCACUGCGGUCAAAGAUGGCCUCUAUUUAUACGCUAUCGCUUGGGGAUGGGCCUGCGCACCAUUAGCUAGUUGGUGAGGUAACGGCUCACCAAGGCUACGAUGGUUAGUUGGUCUGAGAGGAUGACCAGCCACACUGGGACUGAGACACGGCCCAGACUCCUACGGGAGGCAGCAGUGGGGAAUAUUGCGCAAUGGGGGAAACCCUGACGCAGCGACGCCGCGUGGGUGAUGAAGGCCUUCGGGUCGUAAAGCCCUGUCGGAGGGGAAGAAGGACUCUCGUGCAAAUAGUUCGAGGGUUUGACGGUACCCUUAGAGGAAGCACCGGCUAACUCCGUG